This 790-nucleotide ribosomal RNA is filed under the name uncultured Alphaproteobacteria bacterium. RNAcentral's name for it is "bacterial SSU rRNA". It matches the Rfam family "Bacterial small subunit ribosomal RNA", at positions 67 to 902 of the family's 1533-position model. The record is from RNAcentral. Lineage: Bacteria; Pseudomonadati; Pseudomonadota; Alphaproteobacteria.
CGGGCGUAGCAAUACGUCAGUGGCGGACGGGUGAGUAACACGUGGGAAUAUGCCUUUCGGUUCGGAACAACUCGGGGAAACCCGUGCUAAUUCCGGAUACGCCCUUACGGGGAAAGAUUUAUCGCCGAAAGAUUAGCCCGCGUUGGAUUAGCUAGUUGGUGAGGUAAAGGCUCACCAAGGCGACGAUCCAUAGCUGGUUUGAGAGAACGACCAGCCACACUGGGACUGAGACACGGCCCAGACUCCUACGGGAGGCAGCAGUGGGGAAUCUUGGACAAUGGGCGCAAGCCUGAUCCAGCCAUGCCGCGUGAGUGAUGAAGGCCUUCGGGUUGUAAAACUCUUUUGGCGGGGACGAUAAUGACGGUACCCGCAGAAUAAGCUCCGGCUAACUUCGUGCCAGCAGCCGCGGUAAUACGAAGGGGGCUAGCGUUGUUCGGAAUUACUGGGCGUAAAGCGUGCGCAGGCGGCUUCUCAAGUCAGGGGUGAAAGCCCAGAGCUCAACUCUGGAAUUGCCUUUGAGACUGAGAGGCUUGAGUACGGGAGAGGUGAGUGGAAUUCCCAGUGUAGAGGUGAAAUUCGUAGAUAUUGGGAAGAACACCGGUGGCGAAGGCGGCUCACUGGCCCGAAACUGACGCUCAUGCACGACAGCGUGGGGAUCAAACAGGAUUAGAUACCCUGGUAGUCCACGCCGUAAACUAUGAACGCUAGCCGUUGGCAGGCUUGCCUGUCAGUGGCGCAGCUAACGCAUUAAGCGUUCCGCCUGGGGAGUACGGCCGCAAGGUUGAAACUC